This 432-nucleotide ribosomal RNA is filed under the name uncultured bacterium. RNAcentral describes it as "partial 16S ribosomal RNA". It matches the Rfam family "Bacterial small subunit ribosomal RNA", at positions 29 to 506 of the family's 1533-position model. The record is from RNAcentral.
AACGAACGCUGGCGGCAGGCCUAACACAUGCAAGUCGAGCGAGGACUUCGGUCCUAGCGGCGGACGGGUGAGUAACGCGUGGGAACGUGCCCUUUGCUUCGGAAUAGCCCUGGGAAACUGGGAGUAAUACCGGAUGAGCCCUUUGGGGGAAAGAUUUAUCGGCGAAGGAUCGGCCCGCGUUGGAUUAGGUAGUUGGUGGGGUAAUGGCCUACCAAGCCGACGAUCCAUAGCUGGUUUGAGAGGAUGAUCAGCCACACUGGGACUGAGACACGGCCCAGACUCCGACGGGAGGCAGCAGUGGGGAAUCUUAGACAAUGGGGGGAACCCUGAUCUAGCCAUGCCGCGUGAGCGAUGAAGGCCUUAGGGUUGUAAAGCUCUUUCAGCUGGGAAGAUAAUGACGGUACCAGCAGAAGAAGCCCCGGCUAACUCCGU